UUUCCGUAGGUGAACCUGCGGAAGGAUCAUUGUUGGAUUUUGAAACUUCAGGCUGCUGCUGGCUCUCCUCGGAGGGCAUGUGCACGCUUGUUGUCCAUUAUUUCUCCCACUGUGCACAAAUUGUAGACCUUUCAGUAGGCCUAUGUUGUUUUUCACAAUCUCUGAAUGUAAUAGAAUGGUUUUGAAUCUUGGGAAAUACAAUACAACUUUCAGCAACGGAUCUCUUGGCUCUC
RNAcentral lists this unclassified non-coding RNA (233 nucleotides) under plant metagenome. RNAcentral describes it as "partial contains small subunit ribosomal RNA, internal transcribed spacer 1, and 5.8S ribosomal RNA". The record is from RNAcentral.